GCGUUCGCCCGUGAUGAAAAGGGAAUCGGGUGCAAAUCCCGGACAGUCCUCGCUGCUGUGAGUCUUAUCUUUCGAGCGUGAAAGAGCCGAACUCCCGACAAUCUCUGCCACUGACCGUUCAGCCGGUCGGGAAGGCGUCGGGGGAAGACGAGUCAGAAGACCUGCCUUGCGA
This 172-nucleotide non-coding RNA is filed under the name uncultured Alistipes sp. Lineage: Bacteria; Pseudomonadati; Bacteroidota; Bacteroidia; Bacteroidales; Rikenellaceae. The record is from RNAcentral.